AGAGUUUGAUGGUGGCUCAGAACGAACGCUGGCGGCGUACUUAACACAUGCAAGUCGAACGAGAAAAGAAGCUUCGGCUUCCGAGUACAGUGGCGAACGGGUGCGUAACACGUAAGCAAUCUACCUCAGACGUUGGGAUAACUUCUCGAAAGGGGAGCUAAUACCAAAUAGUUCCCUGUGGCACAAGUCAUGGGGGGAAAGCGGGCCUCUAAACUAUGCUCGCAGUCUGAGAUGAGCUUGCGGUCCAUUAGCUUGUUGGUAGGGUAACGGCCUACCAAGGCUACGAUGGAUAGCUGGUCUGAGAGGAUGAUCAGCCACACUGGCACUGAGACACGGGCCAGACUCCUACGGGAGGCAGCAGUGGGGAAUUUUGCGCAAUGGGCGAAAGCCUGACGCAGUAACGCCGCGUGGAGGAUGAAGGCCUUUGGGUUGUAAACUCCUGCCAGGGGGGAAGAUAGGGCUAUUGCAAAUAGUUUUAGCCCUAUGACGGUACCCCCAAAGGAAGCCCCGGCUAAUUCCGUGCCAGCAGCCGCGGUAAUACGGAAGGGGCAAGCGUUGUUCGGAAUCAUUGGGCGUAAAGGGCGCGUAGGCGGUCUCAUAUGUCCGCUGUGAAAGCACACGGCUCAACCGUGUUGGGUCGGCGGAAACUGUGAGACUUGAGGCUGGGAGGGGUCGGUGGAAUUCUUCAUGUAGCGGUGAAAUGCGUAGAUAUGAGGGAGAACACUCGUGGCGAAGGCGGCCGGCUGGACCAGUUCUGACGCUGAGGCGCGAAAGCGUGGGUAGCAAACAGGAUUAGAUACCCUGGUAGUCCACGCUGUAAACGAUGGGCACUAGGUGUCGGCGGUAUUAAUCCCGUCGGUGCUGGCGCUAACGCAGUAAGUGCCCCCG
RNAcentral lists this ribosomal RNA (888 nucleotides) under uncultured bacterium. Its description in RNAcentral is "bacterial SSU rRNA". It matches the Rfam family "Bacterial small subunit ribosomal RNA", at positions 8 to 871 of the family's 1533-position model. The record is from RNAcentral.